Long non-coding RNA from Triticum dicoccoides, 1161 nucleotides. RefSeq lists it as uncharacterized. The transcript has 4 exons. NCBI's taxonomy places the organism in Eukaryota, Viridiplantae, Streptophyta, Magnoliopsida, Poales, Poaceae. The record is from RefSeq and is a predicted model, not a curated record.
UCUCCUCCUCCCUCGUCCUCGUCUCCUCGCCGCCGCCGUCACCUCCUCCCCGUCCCCGACCUCCUUCCGGGUUCCGGGAUGCGCCCUGAUUGAAUCGAUCCCUCCCAUCUCCUCCCGAUCCUGAUCCAGUCCUCUCCCCGCCACUCCAACCCACCCACCGAACCGAUCCCGCUACCACCCACCGAACGUAUCCCGAUUCUCCUCCGGUCAAGACCUUCUUCCCCCCGAUUCCCCCCAAUCCCAAUGACACCGACAACAUCCAUCCAUCCGCAGCUCUCCCUCCUACCGUGGGGAUGGAUGAGGAGAUCCCGCUCCCACCGAACCGAUCCCGCUCCCACCCACCCAUGGAUGGAUGUGGACGGGGCCAGGACGGCGCCGGCGCCGGAUCUGCACCCACCUGCGUCUCGAUGGGGCAGCACAACGGAGCGCGCGGCCGCGACGCCGCCCUCAUUGGGACGCCACCACCACGCGUCUGCGCCAUGGAAGACGAGGAGGAGUGCCUCCCUCCGUCGUACGGUACGCCGCCAUGGAAGGAGAUGGAGCUCCUCCCUUCUCCUCAACCACGCACACAAUAGGAGAUCGGCAAGGGUGGAGGGAGAGGAGGAGCUGCUCCGACCCACCCUACUGACGAUCGACACCGUGGAGGCUAUCACCAUGGUAAGCCGAGGUGCUGUGGGUGUCGAGGAAGACGAUGGUUCGGGUGAGACAGUGAAGAGAAGAUAGCGUGCAGAGCGGGAGGAUGUCGGUUCCAGCUGCGUAGAUUACUCAAGGCAGGAUUUGAUUCUGUACAAGGGGUUCAUCGUGCCAGGCUCCUCUUUUCUGAUGAUUCCAUGCAACGGUGGUGGCGAUGGUGGUGUUUGGCAUCGGCUACAAAAACACACCGCCAUGUCAUGUCAAUCAAGUUAAUUAGAUGUUGCUCUUUUCAUGUUCUGCUUCAUACAUACAUGCAUAUGUAAUGGCUCCCUGCCUCCCUGCCUGCUACAUCUCCGCUUGCAUAAAUCAAAGAGAAGAAAGAAACACCCAGCUUAAAAUAAUUGUAAUGAGCAGCACAUGCCUUUCAUUUUACAGGAUGGUCAUUGUAUCAUGAUAACUGGAUCAUAUCUAUGCCACAUACAAAUCAUUGAGCAGUGUUCCUGAUGGCCUGUUACCUUGAAUAAUAAU